UAAGAGUUUAAGAGAAGGCAGAAAAUUAGGGUGGAACGAACAAUUUGCUUUUUUGUUCUCUGUGUUUCAGUUCUAAUAAUGAACCUCAAUGAUGGGAUGGUACUAAGGUCCUUAAGCAGCCAAUGCAGUUUUUGAAGGCCAUAAGUGAAAGCUAAACUAAGUUAUCCCUUUCUAUUGAAGACUAUCACAGAAAAAAAAAGGCUCCAUCUUCAAAGGAAGUUUGCUAAGGAUUUGAUUCUGGUAGGUGUGUCUUCAGGAGUGCACAUAAAAUGGUACCUCUUCGUGACGGAAAGACAUCUGUGAGCAAAGGGCUUUUCAGUGUAAGCAUGUGCUGGCCUGAGGUCACAACAUAUACACACACAAAGAGCCAGAGAGAGAUAUUGUCUACUAUUUUCAAAUAUUUAGAUAGAAUUAAAUUUGGUUGUAAUGUUAGUUUCAUCAUUUUGGUACUACUCCUGUCCUGGCCUAAUCCACCUUUGGUGACCUUUCUUGCAUAAUCUGAUCAUGGAUCACAGUAUCUAGCCCUUAAUAUGAGCUCCUUUGUCUCAUAAUCUGUUUUUUUUUUUUUUUUCUCGGUUGAUUGGAUUAUUUUGUUGCUAUUGUUAAGACUCCCACCAGUCUGACCUUUUCAGAAGAUCAGUAAGAAUACCAGUUCAUGCUUGCAGAGUGAUCCUGCCUGCAUGUUCACCACCUUCAUGCAUGGUAUAUUUCUGCCAGGUUAGAGUCCAAAAUGUCAAAGCAGUCAGAAAAAUUUAUUCUGGGAAUAGUGUACCAAGAAUGGAAUACAAGAAAACUGAGGGAAGGAGAGAUGGAGAGCAUCAAAUUCAAGUCUGGAGGACAGCAGGUGAAUGACAAUCCCAAUGUUGCAAGGAAAAAAAAGAAAGAUAAGCAAAGAAGACAAUCAGUAAGGGACUUUAUUUUUCUUCGUAACAGUAAGGAUACAGAAUUGUUUUCCAAGUAAAAGACUACUCAAGUAGGUAACACUGAUUGUUCAGAAGAACAGAGCAAAGAAAAAAUAUAAGACAGAAAGAAAAAGGGACCACAUUUUCUCUUCAGUUCAAGAACUUCUUAAUCACUGCAAGGUAUGGAUUUUUGGCCUACCAAUCAGACAAUGACUCAUUUUACUCAUCUGUAAACUCUUAACGUUUACCACUGCAGUGCCACCCUUCUUUGCCAUGAACUUCAGAGGUCUUGGCUAGCUGCUCCUGACUCCUGUCUUGGCAAAAGAAGAUAUCUUAAUAACUCUAGCAUCAGUUUCUGUGGAUGCACUAAUGAACACAAAGAGACCACCCUGACCCAAGAACUGACAGUCACAAGCAGGACUGGGCAUGCCAAAAGAAG
Long non-coding RNA from Phasianus colchicus (ring-necked pheasant), 1341 nucleotides. RefSeq lists it as uncharacterized. The record is from RefSeq and is a predicted model, not a curated record. Lineage: Eukaryota; Metazoa; Chordata; Aves; Galliformes; Phasianidae.